GGGAAAGUGCACAUACAUCCUGGGAGGAGGAAGCUUCAGGGGAAACAAAAGGUACAUUUUGAGGGGAGGCAGGUUUGUUGGAAACUACAGGUAAAUCUUGGAGAGUGUCAGCUUUUGGAGAAACUGCAGGAACAUCUUGGAGGGUGGAAGCUUUCCGGGAAACUACGGGUACAUCUUCAGUCUUGGCAGUUUCAAGGGAAACAACAGGUAUAUUCUUG
Molecule: unclassified non-coding RNA, 218 nt
Filed under: Hevea brasiliensis (rubber tree)
Lineage: Eukaryota; Viridiplantae; Streptophyta; Magnoliopsida; Malpighiales; Euphorbiaceae
Source: RNAcentral